This 364-nucleotide unclassified non-coding RNA is filed under the name Hevea brasiliensis (rubber tree). The record is from RNAcentral. Lineage: Eukaryota; Viridiplantae; Streptophyta; Magnoliopsida; Malpighiales; Euphorbiaceae.
AAAAAAAAAAAAAAAAGAAAAGCUACUAUACUUCCAAUACCAUAGCUUAUGUUUUUACCAACAAUCUUUUUAAUGAGAGAUGAAGCCUUAUAAUCAAACUCUCCAAAUAUUCCGUUCUCACAUGGACCACGCAGGAAUUAGUCAAGAUUCCUGUGCUAUAUCUGGAACAUGUCAACAUAAAAUAAAAUAACCAUUGGAUCAGUAGACCAAAAAUCACUCAUUAAGGCAUUUGUUAAUUCUUUCAGUACAAUAAUUUCAUGAAGAAAUGGGAGGCCGACCUGCAAGAACUUUAGGUUGGACAUGUGUCUUUGAUAAUGAUGUUAGCGUAACUUACAUGGUGAAAAUGAUUUAAAAUGAAAAGAGU